CAGUAGCCGCGGUAAUACGUAGGGUGCAAGCGUUAAUCGGAAUUACUGGGCGUAAAGCGUGCGCAGGCGGUUAUAUAAGACAGAUGUGAAAUCCCCGGGCUCAACCUGGGAACUGCAUUUGUGACUGUAUAGCUAGAGUACGGCAGAGGGGGAUGGAAUUCCGCGUGUAGCAGUGAAAUGCGUAGAUAUGCGGAGGAACACCGAUGGCGAAGGCAAUCCCCUGGGCCUGUACUGACGCUCAUGCACGAAAGCGUGGGGAGCAAACAGGAUUAGAUACCCCAGUAGUCCCUGUCUCUUAUAA
Molecule: ribosomal RNA, 301 nt
Filed under: uncultured bacterium
Lineage: Bacteria
Description: partial 16S ribosomal RNA
Rfam family: Bacterial small subunit ribosomal RNA
Source: RNAcentral